This 515-nucleotide ribosomal RNA is filed under the name uncultured bacterium. RNAcentral describes it as "partial 16S ribosomal RNA". It matches the Rfam family "Bacterial small subunit ribosomal RNA", at positions 28 to 523 of the family's 1533-position model. The record is from RNAcentral.
GAUGAACGCUGGCGGCGUGCCUAAUACAUGCAAGUCGAGCGAAUGGAUUAAGAGCUUGCUCUUAUGAAGUUAGCGGCGGACGGGUGAGUAACACGUGGGUAACCUGCCCAUAAGACUGGGAUAACUCCGGGAAACCGGGGCUAAUACCGGAUAACAUUUUGAACCGCAUGGUUCGAAAUUGAAAGGCGGCUUCGGCUGUCACUUAUGGAUGGACCCGGGUCGCAUUAGCUAGGUGGUGAGGUAACGGCUCACCAAGGCAACGAUGCGGAGCCGGCCUGAGAGGGUGAUCGGCCACACUGGGACUGAGACACGGCCCAGACUCCUACGGGAGGCAGCAGUAGGGAAUCUUCCGCAAUGGACGAGAGUCUGACGGAGCAACGCCGCGUGAGUGAUGAAGGCUUUCGGGUCGUAAAACUCUGUUGUUAGGGAAGAACAAGUGCUAGUUGAAUAAGCUGGCACCUUGACGGUACCUAACCAGAAAGCCACGGCUAACUACGUGCCAGCCGCCGCCGUAA